ACCACCGCUCGAUCUCGUACCACGACUUGCACACCAGGGAUACCGAGUUCCUGUCCUUGUCCACGUGGAUGAAGGAGAACACGUGCUCGAGGACUUCCUCGGGGAACGAUAAGGCCACUCGCUUAUACAUUUGCGUUGAUAAGAAAGGAAAAAAAACUCGAGAGAUCUGAGGAAAUCGGAAGAUUCCUCGGGGAACGAUAAGGCCACUCGCUUAUACAUUUGCGUUGAUAAGAAAAGAAAAACUCGAGAGAUCUGAGGAAAUUGGAAGAGUUUGAAGAAGGAGUUUAAAUAUCGGAGGGGCAGAUCUGAGGCGCCAUUAACGGAGAUUACUAGAUUGUGAGGAAGAAGGAGCAGAGAGAAGAGAGAAGGAUAGGGGAAGAAGGUCAAGCCAACUCUGGUUCGGUUAAAUGUUAACCGUGGUUAAACAUCUCCAUGUGAGGGCUUUUCGGUGAUUGUGAUCUGUCUACUACGAUCUCGCCA
This 480-nucleotide long non-coding RNA is filed under the name Brassica napus (rape). RNAcentral's name for it is "long non-coding RNA (BNAP_LNC008317)". The record is from RNAcentral. Lineage: Eukaryota; Viridiplantae; Streptophyta; Magnoliopsida; Brassicales; Brassicaceae.